GAAGCUUUACUGUAUCUUGGAAUUGGGUUUGGGCUUUGCUUGCGCAGGAUAGGUGGGAGGCUUUGAAGAUAUUCUUGCGGGAAUAUUGGAGCCAAUGGUGAGAUACCACUCUAGUAAGGCUAAAAUUCUAACUUCGAACCGUUAUCCGGUCGAGGAACAGUUUCAGGUGGGCAGUUUGACUGGGGCGGUCGCCUCCCAAAAGGUAACGGAGGCGUGCAAAGGUUCCCUCAGGCUGGUCGGACAUCAGUCGUAGAGUGUAAAGGCAUAAGGGAGCUUGACUGCGAGACCUACAAGUCGAGCAGAGACGAAAGUCGGCCUUAGUGAUCCGACGGUUCCGAGUGGAAGGGCCGUCGCUCAACGGAUAAAAGUUACUCUAGG
This 378-nucleotide ribosomal RNA is filed under the name Dinophysis tripos. Its description in RNAcentral is "partial large subunit ribosomal RNA". It matches the Rfam family "Bacterial large subunit ribosomal RNA", at positions 2095 to 2472 of the family's 2925-position model. Lineage: Eukaryota; Dinophyceae; Dinophysales; Dinophysaceae. The record is from RNAcentral. RNAcentral also lists the same sequence under 4 other names.